AUGAAGCAACCCAGCAAAUAUGGUUUCAUUAGUAAAACUGCAAAAGCGAUAAGCCCAUACAUAACAAAGGUCAAAGCCAGACAACAAACGGAUGGUUCCGGUAUGCAGACAGGCAAAACUUCGAUCCUCACUGAUGCUUUACAAACUUGUAUUUGUAUAAUUAUGCAGCCAAUUGUAUCAUACUCGGUUCAAAGAUAUCACCAAAGCCCAGUUCAUGAACAAAAGGAAAAGAAAAAGAACUCUGGUGAAAACUGGUCUGAUGGUGCAGAAGGUGAUGGUUGGUCGACAACAGCUUCAAGAAGUUCAUAA
Molecule: ribosomal RNA, 309 nt
Filed under: Triticum aestivum (bread wheat)
Lineage: Eukaryota; Viridiplantae; Streptophyta; Magnoliopsida; Poales; Poaceae
Description: partial small subunit ribosomal RNA
Source: RNAcentral